UUUUCUUUUUCUGAAUGGCGAAGUUAACUCCGAAAGCCUGUCAAAGGUAUGAAGCGUGCCAAGUUCUCAAUCAAGUACACAGGCAGAAUAUGAAUUAUGAAGUGCUUUCAGUUAUUCAGAAGUUGAAAGCAAUCUCUAUCAGCUACACGUAUACGUAAAAUCAUCUGCCUUGCUCUACAGGGUAGUAAACACCUGUGGGAGCCUGGAGCCUUGUCAUCUUCCUGUACCUGCGGUGGUCGCAACCACGCACAAAUAACAAAUUCACGGCAGCUCCACACGCUGUUAAAUAAAAAAAAAGGAC
RNAcentral lists this long non-coding RNA (301 nucleotides) under Zea mays. Its description in RNAcentral is "long non-coding RNA NONZMAT000095". The record is from RNAcentral. Lineage: Eukaryota; Viridiplantae; Streptophyta; Magnoliopsida; Poales; Poaceae.